Molecule: ribosomal RNA, 253 nt
Filed under: uncultured bacterium
Lineage: Bacteria
Description: partial 16S ribosomal RNA
Rfam family: Bacterial small subunit ribosomal RNA
Source: RNAcentral
UACGAAGGGUGCAAACGUUUCUCGGAAUUAUUGGGCGUAAAGCGCACGUAGGCGGCUUAGUAAGUUGGAUGUGAAAUCCCUCGGCUUAACCAAGGAAGUGCAUCCAAAACUACUGAGCUUGAGUACUAAAGAGGAUCGCGGAAUUCCCGGUGUAGAGGUGAAAUUCGUAGAUAUCGGGAGGAACACCAGUGGCGAAGGCGGCGAUCUGGGUAGAUACUGACGCUGAGGAGCGAAAGCGUGGGGAGCGAACAGG